GGUCAUAUUUCUCUGCUUCUUUGCACGCCUGAUAAUUUUUAACUUGAUAUCUACAUUGUGAAUUUCACCUUGUUUUUAUAGAUACCCGGUCUUGCUAUCUUUCCCAAGCUGUUCUUGAUCUCCUGGCUUCAAGUGAUCCUUGACCUCCCAAAGUGCUGGGAGGAUAGACAUGAGCCACUGUGCCUGACCCAAGUGGAAUAAACUCUAAUGUUAAGUGGGGGAAGUCAAGAUGGCUAACCAGGCACAGCCAGGUGGAUCAUUUCUUACCAAAAGGAUGAGACUUCAGGAAGACUGGCACAUUCUGAGCAGAUCUUUGUGGGGAAGGCAUUGAGAGUGGACAGAGCUUCAGGCACGUCUCAGCAUGCCUCCCUCUCAUGGAAGUUCCCAGGAAGCCCACCAUGUACGUGUCUGUACGUGUCUGUAGAAGAGGAGGAAAUUUUUUUCCGGGAGCCGGCUGAUUACACAAAGAACAAAGGAAUGAAAACCCUAAGUGCGAGUAGGGACAUUGUGCAUUGAUCGUUCAGACUACUUCAUGCUGGAGAGGGCAUCAUAUGGGGGACAGCAGCUGGGAUUUCUCCUGUGAUCAAUCUAAGGGUCCUCUUAAGAAGAGCACAUCCAUGCGUGGUUCUAUUUGUAUCACUAUUUGGAGCAUGAUAGGCUCUAGGCAAAAAGAAACAAUUUAGGUUAUAAGAGAACAUGUGUUAAAACAAGACUGGGGUUAAUGACGUUUUAAAAAUUCCGAGGCUGCUGACACAGUUGGAUAACUGAUGAUUGUAGUUAUGUCUGUUAAGAUUUGGGUGCAUGGGCUUGGCUUUGGUUAUCUCCAUUGGUUUUAUUUUCCCCCCAAAAAACGUCUGGGUUAUGGGUAUCAUAUUUACUCCUAUUACCUGGCACGAUUUGCAAGAUAAUUAACCAGUACUAGAAUAUUGAUCCAGUUUUAUUGUUGUCGUUGUUGUUUUCACUACACAUCCUUUUUUGUUUCUUCUGAGCAGCAGGAGGAAAUCACUAGUUGAUUCAAAGGAAUAAGCAGGAAUAGUCUAAAAUGUAGGAAAAAAACUUAAA
This 1062-nucleotide long non-coding RNA is filed under the name Homo sapiens (human). RNAcentral describes it as "HSALNT0351125". Lineage: Eukaryota; Metazoa; Chordata; Mammalia; Primates; Hominidae. The record is from RNAcentral.